AUUGAACGCUGGCGGCAGGCCUAACACAUGCAAGUCGAACGCGCGGCGGACGGGUGUGUAAUGUAUGGGGAAUGCCCCUUAUCGGGGGAGAACUACUGGAAACGGUGGCUAAUACCGCAUAUUUUCGGAUAACCCCUAGGGGAGUAGAUAGUAGGUAAGGUAAUGGCUUACAUAGGCGACGAUCCCUAGCUGGUCUGAGAGGAUGAUCAGCCACACUGGGACUGAGACACGGCCCAGACUCCUACGGAGGCAGCAGUGGGGAAUAUUGCACAAUGGGCGCAAGCCUGAUGCAGCCAUGCCGCGUGUAUGAAGAAGGCCCUAGGGUUGUAAAGUACUUUCAGUCGGGAGGCGUUACCGACAGAAGAAGCACCGGCUAACUCCGUGCCAGCAGCCGCGGUAAUUC
Molecule: ribosomal RNA, 403 nt
Filed under: uncultured bacterium
Lineage: Bacteria
Description: partial 16S ribosomal RNA
Rfam family: Bacterial small subunit ribosomal RNA
Source: RNAcentral